UGCCCGCCGCCGCGGUAAUAAGUAAGCGGCCACCCUCUUCCCGGAUUUAUUCGCCUUAGAGUUUGAAUCUGGCUCAGGACGAACGCUGGCGGCGUGCCUAAUACAUGCAAGUCGAACGAACUCUGGUAUUGAUUGGUGCUUGCAUCAUGAUUUACAUUUGAGUGAGUGGCGAACUGGUGAGUAACACGUGGGAAACCUGCCCAGAAGCGGGGGAUAACACCUGGAAACAGAUGCUAAUACCGCAUAACAACUUGGACCGCAUGGUCCGAGUUUGAAAGAUGGCUUCGGCUAUCACUUUUGGAUGGUCCCGCGGCGUAUUAGCUAGAUGGUGGGGUAACGGCUCACCAUGGCAAUGAUACGUAGCCGACCUGAGAGGGUAAUCGGCCACAUUGGGACUGAGACACGGCCCAAACUCCUACGGGAGGCAGCAGUAGGGAAUCUUCCACAAUGGACGAAAGUCUGAUGGAGCAACGCCGCGUGAGUGAAGAAGGGUUUCGGCUCGUAAAACUCUGUUGUUAAAGAAGAACAUAUCUGAGAGUAACUGUUCAGGUAUUGACGGUAUUUAACCAGAAAGCCACGGCUAACUACGUGCCAGCAGCCGCGGUAAUACGUAGGUGGCAAGCGUUGUCCGGAUUUAUUGGGCGUAAAGCGAGCGCAGGCGGUUUUUUAAGUCUGAUGUGAAAGCCUUCGGCUCAACCGAAGAAGUGCAUCGGAAACUGGGAAACUUGAGUGCAGAAGAGGACAGUGGAACUCCAUGUGUAGCGGUGAAAUGCGUAGAUAUAUGGAAGAACACCAGUGGCGAAGGCGGCUGUCUGGUCUGUAACUGACGCUGAGGCUCGAAAGUAUGGGUAGCAAACAGGAUUAGAUACCCUGGUAGUCCAUACCGUAAACGAUGAAUGCUAAGUGUUGGAGGGUUUCCGCCCUUCAGUGCUGCAGCUAACGCAUUAAGCAUUCCGCCUGGGGAGUACGGCCGCAAGGCUGAAACUCAAAGGAAUUGACGGGGGCCCGCACAAGCGGUGGAGCAUGUGGUUUAAUUCGAAGCUACGCGAAGAACCUUACCAGGUCUUGACAUACUAUGCAAAUCUAAGAGAUUAGACGUUCCCUUCGGGGACAUGGAUACAGGUGGUGCAUGGUUGUCGUCAGCUCGUGUCGUGAGAUGUUGGGUUAAGUCCCGCAACGAGCGCAACCCUUAUUAUCAGUUGCCAGCAUUAAGUUGGGCACUCUGGUGAGACUGCCGGUGACAAACCGGAGGAAGGUGGGGAUGACGUCAAAUCAUCAUGCCCCUUAUGACCUGGGCUACACACGUGCUACAAUGGAUGGUACAACGAGUUGCGAACUCGCGAGAGUAAGCUAAUCUCUUAAAGCCAUUCUCAGUUCGGAUUGUAGGCUGCAACUCGCCUACAUGAAGUCGGAAUCGCUAGUAAUCGCGGAUCAGCAUGCCGCGGUGAAUACGUUCCCGGGCCUUGUACACACCGCCCGUCACACCAUGAGAGUUUGUAACACCCAAAGUCGGUGGGGUA
Molecule: ribosomal RNA, 1520 nt
Filed under: Lactiplantibacillus argentoratensis
Lineage: Bacteria; Bacillati; Bacillota; Bacilli; Lactobacillales; Lactobacillaceae
Description: bacterial SSU rRNA
Rfam family: Bacterial small subunit ribosomal RNA
Source: RNAcentral